RNAcentral lists this unclassified non-coding RNA (168 nucleotides) under uncultured Phialocephala. Its description in RNAcentral is "sequence contains ITS1". The record is from RNAcentral. Lineage: Eukaryota; Fungi; Ascomycota; Leotiomycetes; Helotiales.
CAGAGUUCAUGCCCUUCGGGGUAGACCUCCCACCCUUGUGUAUUUAUACCUUUGUUGCUUUGGCAGGCCGCUAGGCUCUGUUCUAGCUACCGGCCUUGGCUGGUAUGCGCCUGCCAGAGGACCCAAAACUCUGAAUAUUAGUGUCGUCUGAGUACUAUAAAAUAGUUA